AGUGCAAAUGAUGAUAAAACAGACAGGGACAUCAGCCACUCCAAUUGAAAUUGGAGAAUGUUGACUAUGUCUACAUGGGAAUCUCUCUGAUGCAAA
This is a non-coding RNA of Populus trichocarpa (black cottonwood), 96 nucleotides long. Lineage: Eukaryota; Viridiplantae; Streptophyta; Magnoliopsida; Malpighiales; Salicaceae. The record is from Rfam.